GUCCUUUUGAGUUAAAUUUAAGGUCUAACCUGCCCACUGAUUUUUAAAUGGCCGCAGUACUCUAACUGUGCAAAGGUAGCAUAAUAAUUAGUCUUUUAAUUGAAGGCUUGCAUGAAUGGUUGGACGAAAUACUAACUGUUUCAUUUAGAUUUAUAGUAGAAUUUUAUUUUUCAGUCAAAAAGCUGAAAUUUUUUUAAAAGACGAGAAGACCCUAUAAAUCUUUACAUAUUUAUUUAAAUAUUUUAAAAAGAAUAUUAUAAAAUAUUUUGAUUUCUGUGUUUUAUUGGGGUGAUAUUAAAAUUUGAAAAACUUUUAAUUUAAAAAUUCAUUAAUGUAUGAUUUUUAGAUCCGUAUAAACGAUUAAUAAAUUAAGUUACUUUAGGGAUAACAGCGUAAUUCUUUUGGAGAGUUCAUAUCGAUAAAAGAGAUUGCGACCUCGAUGUUGGAUUAAGGAAUAAUUUUAGAUGCAGCAGUCUAAAUGAUAAGUCUGUUCGACUUUUAAACCCUU
This 508-nucleotide ribosomal RNA is filed under the name Tetanocera silvatica. Its description in RNAcentral is "partial 16S ribosomal RNA". It matches the Rfam family "Bacterial large subunit ribosomal RNA", at positions 1819 to 2597 of the family's 2925-position model. The record is from RNAcentral. Lineage: Eukaryota; Metazoa; Arthropoda; Insecta; Diptera; Sciomyzidae.